ACAACGACUCUCGGCAACGGAUAUCUCGGCUCUCGCAUCGAUGAAGAACGUAGCGAAAUGCGAUACUUGGUGUGAAUUGCARAAUCCCGUGAACCAUCGAGUCUUUGAACGCAAGUUGCGCCCGACGCCAUCUGGUCGAGGGCACGUCUGCCUGGGCGUCACGC
RNAcentral lists this ribosomal RNA (164 nucleotides) under Metapetrocosmea cicatricosa. Its description in RNAcentral is "Deinostigma cicatricosa 5.8S ribosomal RNA". It matches the Rfam family "5.8S ribosomal RNA". From Rfam's summary of the family: 5.8S ribosomal RNA (5.8S rRNA) is a component of the large subunit of the eukaryotic ribosome. It is transcribed by RNA polymerase I as part of the 45S precursor that also contains 18S and 28S rRNA. The record is from RNAcentral. Lineage: Eukaryota; Viridiplantae; Streptophyta; Magnoliopsida; Lamiales; Gesneriaceae.